CGUGAGCAAUCUGCCUUGGAGUGGGGAAUAACGGCUGGAAACAGCCGCUAAUACCGCAUGACGCGUCUGGGAGGCAUCUCUCUGGACGCCAAAGAUUUAUCGCUCUGAGAUGAGCUCGCGUCUGAUUAGCUAGUUGGCGGGGUAACGGCCCACCAAGGCGACGAUCAGUAGCCGGACUGAGAGGUUGGCCGGCCACAUUGGGACUGAGACACGGCCCAGACUCCUACGGAAGGCAGCAG
Molecule: ribosomal RNA, 239 nt
Filed under: uncultured bacterium
Lineage: Bacteria
Description: partial 16S ribosomal RNA
Rfam family: Bacterial small subunit ribosomal RNA
Source: RNAcentral